This 404-nucleotide ribosomal RNA is filed under the name uncultured microorganism. RNAcentral describes it as "bacterial SSU rRNA". It matches the Rfam family "Archaeal small subunit ribosomal RNA", at positions 330 to 745 of the family's 1478-position model. The record is from RNAcentral.
GUGCACCAGGCGCGAAUACUUACAAUGUGCGAAGCACGAUAAGGGAACUCUGAGUGCCUCCUAAGGAGGCUGUUCAGGUGUCUAAAGCACCUGGAGUAAGGGCUGGGUAAGACCGGUGCCAGCCGCCGCGGUAACACCGGCAGCCCAGGUGGUAGCCACUUUAUUGGGUCUAAAGCGUCCGUAGCCGGUUGAGUAAGUUCCUUGGGAAAUUUGGCUGCUCAAUAGUCAAGCUUCCAGGGAAUACUGCUCGACUUGGGACUGGGAGAGGUCAGAGGUACUCCAGGGGUAGGGUGAAAUCCAUUAAUCCCUGGGGGACCACCGGUAGCGAAGGCGUCUGACCAGACCAGGUCCGACGGUGAGGGACGAAGGCUAGGGGCGCGAACCGGAUUAGAUACCCCCGUAGU